UGUGCCAGCAGCCGCGGUAAUACGUAGGGUGCAAGCGUUAAUCGGAAUUACUGGGCGUAAAGCGUGCGCAGGCGGUUUUGUAAGUCUGUCGUGAAAUCCCCGGGCUCAACCUGGGAAUUGCGAUGGAGACUGCAAGGCUAGAAUCUGGCAGAGGGGGGUAGAAUUCCACGUGUAGCAGUGAAAUGCGUAGAGAUGUGGAGGAACACCGAUGGCGAAGGCAGCCCCCUGGGUCAAGAUUGACGCUCAUGCACGAAAGCGUGGGGAGCAAACAGGAU
RNAcentral lists this ribosomal RNA (275 nucleotides) under uncultured Burkholderiales bacterium. RNAcentral's name for it is "partial 16S ribosomal RNA". It matches the Rfam family "Bacterial small subunit ribosomal RNA", at positions 504 to 778 of the family's 1533-position model. The record is from RNAcentral. Lineage: Bacteria; Pseudomonadati; Pseudomonadota; Betaproteobacteria; Burkholderiales.